AGAGAGAGAGAGAGAGAGAGAGAGAGAGAGGCAGAAACCCCAGAGUCUCUUCAACCCUCCUGGCCUGGGAAUGGAGAGUACUUGGUGUCUAGAUAACUAACCAAACUGCAGAAGUGCAAUCUUCCCUCAUUAGCAAGAAAAAAAGUGUAUUAGAAGAAAUGAUUGUACUUCAGUACAGUGUGGAUAUAGCCAAGCCUCGUUCCUGUACAGAAGCUUCAGGAACGUCAAAAGAAAUCAGCAGAGAAGGAGGCUAAGGAACAGCAGAAGAAAGAAAAAGUGGUGUCUGUGAUAAGAAAGUAAGGAGAGACAGACAGAAAAACCCAACCAAGCGAGCAAGGACAAAGGACAAGAGAAGAUUUUUUAAAAAGGAAGGAACCAUGGGAUAAAAUAAAGUACAGGCAGUCCCCGGG
This is a non-coding RNA of Pelodiscus sinensis (Chinese soft-shelled turtle), 410 nucleotides long. The record is from RefSeq and is a predicted model, not a curated record. NCBI's taxonomy places the organism in Eukaryota, Metazoa, Chordata, Testudines, Trionychidae.